Molecule: ribosomal RNA, 256 nt
Filed under: uncultured Gardnerella sp.
Lineage: Bacteria; Bacillati; Actinomycetota; Actinomycetes; Bifidobacteriales; Bifidobacteriaceae
Description: partial 16S ribosomal RNA
Rfam family: Bacterial small subunit ribosomal RNA
Source: RNAcentral
CGGAACGGGUGAGUAAUGCGUGACCAACCUGCCCCAUGCUCCAGAAUAGCUCUUGGAAACGGGUGGUAAUGCUGGAUGCUCCAACUUGACGCAUGUCUUGUUGGGAAAGUGUUUAGUGGCAUGGGAUGGGGUCGCGUCCUAUCAGCUUGUAGGCGGGGUAAUGGCCCACCUAGGCUUCGACGGGUAGCCGGCCUGAGAGGGCGGACGGCCACAUUGGGACUGAGAUACGGCCCAGACUCCUACGGAGGCAGCAGUC